AAGGCAGUGAUGGAAUGCUGGCAUGGGUGCCAAAGGAGCUGGACUACAGGGAUUUGUAUAGUCCUGAGGUGACACAUGCCCUUACAGCUGGUCCUGCCCCAUGUCACAAUAGAGCAGAGGACAGUGCCCAGUUCUGAACAUGUUGCUUCUACUUCAUCCAGGAGGAAGAAAAUUAGUGAGUCUGACUCUUCAAAACAUUGGUGUUCUGGAUUCCCUGAGUUUAACAAAGGCUCUGUGCUGUCCAUCUCUCCUGGGAUUUCAGUGCUGCAAACCUUUAGAGUAGUUAAUUCCCACAAUGAAAAGUUUGCUGCCACCUACCCCCGGAUGCACCAGUUGCUCUUUAUUCCCAUCGGUCCAGUCCUCACCACAUAAAAAUUUCAGGACAUGUUUGGAGCUGCCUGAGUCUCAGCAGUGAUGAUCAGCAAGGAGCUUACUCACCCCUAAACCGUGCUGGGAUUCACCAGCUCAGCGUGUCCCUACCUGCUUAGCUUUGGGGAUUGAUCCAGAGGGUGCAUGCAGGAGGUGCCAGCCUGCUCCUUGCACAAAUCUGAGCAGCAGGAGGAAGGAACCUCUCGCCUUUUGAGCAGUUGGACCCUCUCUCCUCACUGCCAGGAUGCCCUUGUUAAAAUAGCUCCAUGUGGAGCUUGAACCUACAUUUUCUCUGUUACAGGAAAGGGCACUAAACCAUAGGUACUCUGCACUGGUUCUCUGUCAUUAAACUAUCCAAUGGUGUGUGGCAAGGAUUGGAUAUUUCGGCAGUCAGGACAUUGCCAUGGAAGACCAUGUUAUCUCCUUGGAUAAGUAAUGCCAAGAAAAACACCUUCCAGAUGGGACAUCUUGAGACCACUCAAGAGUUCAGUUCCCUGCUUAUACCCUGACAGAAAGACACUGGUGGGACUUGAGAAAACAUUUCUGUGUCUGUUUUUGCUGACUGUGUGUGGCAUAACCUGCUCGGAGAACACUGAGCAGAGGCUUAGAUGGGAUAUUGGGAAGAAAUUCUUCCCUGUGAGGGUGGUGAGAAGCUCGAGGUGCCCAGAGAAGUUGUGACUGCCCCAUCCCUGGAAGUGUUUCAGGCCAGGUUAAACAAAGCCUGGGAUAGUGGAAGGUGUCCCUGCUCAUGGAAAAAGAUGAUAUUUAAGGUUCCUUGAAACCCAAACCAUUCCGUGAUUCUAUGAUGAUCAAGGCCUAUGAAUAUGUU
This 1198-nucleotide long non-coding RNA is filed under the name Corvus moneduloides (New Caledonian crow). RNAcentral describes it as "lncRNA (ENSCMUG00000019752.1)". The record is from RNAcentral. Lineage: Eukaryota; Metazoa; Chordata; Aves; Passeriformes; Corvidae.